RNAcentral lists this ribosomal RNA (253 nucleotides) under uncultured bacterium. Its description in RNAcentral is "partial 16S ribosomal RNA". It matches the Rfam family "Bacterial small subunit ribosomal RNA", at positions 524 to 776 of the family's 1533-position model. The record is from RNAcentral.
UACGAAGGGGGCUAGCGUUGUUCGGAAUCACUGGGCGUAAAGGGCGCGUAGGCGGCGCGACAAGUCAGGCGUGAAAGCCCCGGGCUCAACCCGGGAAUUGCGCUUGAUACUGUCGUGCUUGAGGCCGGGAGAGGAUGGCGGAAUUCCCAGUGUAGAGGUGAAAUUCGUAGAUAUUGGGAAGAACACCGGUGGCGAAGGCGGCCCCCUGGUCGGAUACUGACGCUGAGACGCGAAAGCGUGGGGAGCAAACAGG